Small nuclear RNA from Myotis myotis, 104 nucleotides. The record is from RefSeq and is a predicted model, not a curated record. NCBI's taxonomy places the organism in Eukaryota, Metazoa, Chordata, Mammalia, Chiroptera, Vespertilionidae.
GUGCUCGCUUCGACAGCACAUAUACUAAAAUUGGAACAACACAGAGAUUAACAUGGCCCCUGCACAAGGAUGGCAUACAAAUUCGUGAAGCAUUCCUUUUUUUA